Molecule: non-coding RNA, 625 nt
Filed under: Gasterosteus aculeatus (three-spined stickleback)
Lineage: Eukaryota; Metazoa; Chordata; Actinopteri; Perciformes; Gasterosteidae
Description: Eukaryotic small subunit ribosomal RNA
Rfam family: Eukaryotic small subunit ribosomal RNA
Source: Rfam by way of RNAcentral
CACCUCCCUAGUGUAUUUAAGCCAUGUGUGUCUAUUGUCACUUGUCUAUUGUCAUUGUUGAAUGUCUGGAGGUCCUUGUCUGAGUGUUCCUGGGUGUGCGCUUUUCUCCCUUGACGAGGAUCCAUUGGAGGGCAAGUCUGGUGUCAGCAGCCGUGGUAUUUUCAGCUCCAAUAGCGUAUAUUAACGUUGCUGUAGUUAAAAAGCUCGUAGUUGCACCUCGGGGUCCGGCUGGCGGUCCACCGUGAGGUGUGCCACCGCCUGCCCGGUCCCCUGCCUCUUGACCGCCCCCUGAAUGCUCUUGAUUGAGUGUCCCAAAUGAAGUGUUUACUUUGAAAAAAGUGAGUGGGAGAGUGUUCAAAGCAGGCCCGGUCGGCUGAAUACCGCAGCUAGGAAUAAUGGAAUAGAACUCCGGUCCUAUUUUGUGGGUUUCAUCCUCCGGACUGGAGCCAUGAUUGAGAGGGACGGCCGGAGGCAUUCGUACUGUGCCGCUAGAGGUGAAACUCUUGGACCCGUUCAAGAUGGACGAGGGCUCAACGGGUCCGUCUGAGCAACAGGGACUGCUACAAGAAGGGAGGGCGGUCGAGCUUCAAAACAAAGAACUUCUGUUCAUGGCCUUGGUUCAUAU